RNAcentral lists this ribosomal RNA (490 nucleotides) under uncultured bacterium. RNAcentral describes it as "partial 16S ribosomal RNA". It matches the Rfam family "Bacterial small subunit ribosomal RNA", at positions 30 to 507 of the family's 1533-position model. The record is from RNAcentral.
AUUGAACGCUGGCGGCAGGCCUAACACAUGCAAGUCGAACGGUAACAGGAAGAAGCUUGCUUCUUUGCUGACGAGUGGCGGACGGGUGAGUAAUGUCUAGGAAACUGCCUGAUGGAGGGGGAUAACUACUGGAAACGGUAGCUAAUACCGCAUAACGUCGCAAGACCAAAGAGGGGGACCUUCGGGCCUCUUGCCAUCGGAUGUGCCCAGAUGGGAUUAGCUAGUAGGUGGGGUAACGGCUCACCUAGGCGACGAUCCCUAGCUGGUCUGAGAGGAUGACCAGCCACACUGGAACUGAGACACGGUCCAGACUCCUACGGGAGGCAGCAGUGGGGAAUAUUGCACAAAGGGCGCAAGCCUGAUGCAGCCAUGCCGCGUGUAUGAAGAAGGCCUUCGGGUUGUAAAGUACUUUCAGCGGGGAGGAAGGGAGUAAAGUUAAUACCUUUACUCAUUGACGUUACCCGCAGAAGAAGCACCGGCUAACUCCGUG